GCCGCAGCCCCGGUUCCCGCCCGCGCCUCUCCCUCCACACUUCGCCGCAAGCAGAGGGAGCCGGCUCCGGCCUCAGCUGGCCCAGAGAGGGGCUCCCUCAGUGCAGUGGCGAGCUGAAGGGCUCCUCAAGGGCGGCUGGAGUGGACGCUGAGGCCGAGGAGACGCCAAGAGCAAACGAGGGCUGCUAGUACAUUGUCACCUCUCACUGGUAACUACAGUUGCUGUCAGUUUAACUGUUGAUAUUCUGGAAGCAAGAUCUUGGAAGGCCAAGGACAGGUCAUUUCUUAGGACUGUGCAAAAGAGAAUCAGUCUUUACAGUAAGCUAUUUGAUUCUAGUAGUUCUUUCAUCUCAGUCUUUUGAAAGCAACUUCCCCUCUUUAACCAACACCUGCCAUGGCCUCUUCAUGAGCCGAAGAAGGAAAGACAGGACAGAUUCUUAUGACCUGAAACAGCACCUCAACUCUUACCUUGGAUAUUUCUACAUGAAGAAUCUGCUCUGAAACUAUAGCAAACAAUCACAGAGUGUUUGAGUGUGAGUCCAGACUGGUUCGGGAAGACCAAGAAGCAAUGAUGAUGUCUGUUUUUGUCAAAUGUCUGAAAACUAUUUUUAUUUUUCUAAAACUUUGUUCAGAAGUCUCAAUAUUGUAGUGUAUAGAGAUGUACACUAAUUUAGUGAUAUGAAGAUGAAGGGCUUUAAGCCUGUGUUCCUUGCAGGCAUCUCAGUACCUAGGAACUCCAAAGAACAAACUGUUGCUCGUGCAAAAUUAAAUUUCAUAAAACAGCAAAGAA
RNAcentral lists this long non-coding RNA (789 nucleotides) under Homo sapiens (human). RNAcentral's name for it is "HSALNT0332532". The record is from RNAcentral. Lineage: Eukaryota; Metazoa; Chordata; Mammalia; Primates; Hominidae.